RNAcentral lists this long non-coding RNA (2930 nucleotides) under Triticum aestivum (bread wheat). Its description in RNAcentral is "long non-coding RNA (TAES_LNC025979)". The record is from RNAcentral. Lineage: Eukaryota; Viridiplantae; Streptophyta; Magnoliopsida; Poales; Poaceae.
CCCGAGCAAGCCAUCUCUCUCAAACCCUUUCCCCCUCCCUCUAGAGCACUCCAGUGCACGAGCGCGACCGAAUCCCUUGCCAGAGCACUCGGAUUUCCGACGAGCCCGCCUCUCUGCUCCGCGCCCAGCCCCCUCUCUCCAGCCAUCCCCUACCCCGUCUGCGCCCUCCACUAGAUGCGCCACUCUCCGGCGACCCUUCCCGACCCCUCGCCCGUCCGUUUCCCACACCAGAGCACCUACCUCGCCGGCGACCAAACCCCCUCUCCGCCGCAGGCCCUGCUGCUCUCUGUCCGACGCUCGUCGGUGGUAGCGUACCACCUUUGGAUGCGCCUCCCUCCCCUGGUCAUCUGGGUAGGUCGCACACCGCGAGCGGUGGCCGGAAUCGCCGGUGAUUGCCGUCGGGGCGGAUGCCUCCCUCGGCCUAGUUCGAUCCCGAGCAGGAGGUUGAAGAAGCCAGGGCCAGGCGGGUCCCUUCCCGCGCGACCCCAUCUAUUGGCGACCAUGGGGCGUGGCCCCGCUGGCCACAUCGGAUAAGUGGACGCGCCCCGAGCCGCGAAGCCGCUUUCACCAUGCGAAAGCGUAUUCUAGGGAAAUGCGCUUUCAAUAACCGAAAGUGUAUUAUUUCUCUUCUUCGGCCGAAAAUACAUUUUCCUCUCUGGAAAACGUAUUCUCGGAAAAGACACGUUCUGUUUAAACUACCAGGGACCUGUUUGUAGAAGAUUUUUUAUAGACUAGUCCCUGAGCUUUAAACGUCCGUAUCUUUUUACCCGUAACUCCGAAUGAGGUGAUUCCAGCGCUCACGUUCUCUGUUUGUCGAGCUCUUUUUGAUGGGACUAUUUUCUUGAUGUUUGCGCAUUCUGAAAAUGCCCAUUUUUCCCUUGCUCUAAUUCAACCCCUUUAAGAGGGAACCGUUCUCCGUCAAAUCGUUCCACGAUCGUUUCACACUUCUUCCCGGAGUAUUUAUCAACUCCAGGCAAGCCAACCUCUUAUCAUGAGCCCCGAACUUGCAUGUUGACUUUUCUUGCACCUCGUGUGUGUAGUUACAGUUGCUCCUUACCAUUUUCGUCUGCAGUUAUUCUGUUAAUGAUUAUCAUGCAUGCUUAUGUUUUCAUGAUAUCUUUUGCCAUGCUUGGAGUUUUAGGACUUAUAUUUGGAUGAUUAUGUGGAUGACAUGUGCCUUUGGAUUCUUAGUGGCUAUUAUGAUGGCUAUGAUGAUUGUAAUGCACUGUUGAUAUGCUAGUACUUGGUAUUGUCAUGUUCUUUAUGCUAUAGUUGUGCACUUGAGAAGUUCGAUAUUUUGUCCAUGCAUUUGUACGCUGCAUGGUCAUUGUUGCAUUCAUGUUAAAUAUGCUCAUGAUGAUGGAGAAGUUAAUAAGAUGACUUAAUAAUGACAAACCUCCCCCGUCAUCGAUGGGAUCGAGUCAUAGUGCCACCAAACCGAACUUUUUUUCAAUGCAACCACAUUUUGCCUUUAUGGGAAGGCCUUAAUGUGAUCUAUUGUCGUGCCUCUCGCCGGUGAGUCCAAAGAGGGAAGGUUAUGGGCGCGCGCUACCCUGAUCAGGCAGGCGGACAUAAGCCUUGUGUGCCCGGAUUUGGUUUUGAGCUCAGGUCCCCGUUUGGGACGUCUAUGUUUGUCCACGACGGUGGCCGUUGGUGUCUUUGGUAGACACGGGGCCACCCAGGACUAGCCCAGUGGGGAGUGAGUGGGAGUGACCGGGAGAGUGUCAUGGUAGUAGGUCGGUUUCAUCCGAAUGCCAUUGGUCCACCCGAAUGGGAUGACGAGGCCAUGGGUUUCGUGGUGUGGGUACAGUGCGCUACCUCUACAGAGUGUUUAUAAAGUUUAUCAAUACCAACACAGUUCAUAGUAGGUCACACUAUCGGGUCUUGGUCGAAAUGGAGGAUAAACCUGAAAUAAUUAAGUAAAUUAAUGUGAUAACAAGAAUGUGGUGAUUUGGACUAUGAGAUAGUCAUGAGAAGUGAGGCAAUGUUUUGAUAUGAUCACGAGACGAGGUCUCGGUGAGUGUUGGAGACCAAGUGUUGGUCGUGGUUGUGAUCGCCGAAAAGAUCACUGUUUGAGACCAAGUGUUGGUCAUGGUUGUGAUUACCGAAAAGAUCACCAUUUGGAUACAAGGCAACUCGUUGGUAAGAGAGUCCGAGGGACUCAGUGCACAAGUUUGGUUGCAUUGCAUGAGUAAUAUGUUGUUAUUUGCAUUUAAAGAACCAUGGCAGAACAGAAGAUGGCUGCAUAAAGUUAACAUGUUAUGUCUGCAUUGAAUAUGAUCGGUAGUUUAUUUUCAGCAUAGUUUCUUGAUGCCAUGCCAUGCUUUCAUAGAUGUGUUAAAUUAUGCCAUGAUGGAGAGGAUAUGCUAUGUUUUGAUAUUGCCAUGUUAGAAGCAUGUUUUUAUAUGCCAUGUGAUUACCAUGUUAGUAGAUGCUAUGAUGUUCAUGCUUAGUUGAUCUUUACCAUGCCAUAGUUAGUAAUUUAUAUGAGAUAGGUUGUUGCAUGCACUUUGUUCUUGCUUUGUCUUCUGUUUGUUUGGGUGCUAUGUACUUGGUUGUCUUGCAAGUACAUUCAAUGUACUGACCUGGCGUGUCAUGCCAGUUUUGUAGGUCGAGCCCGAAGUGUUCGCUUGACCCGUCGUACUAGGCCGUAACCUUGCCAGUCCUGUGAGUUGUGGAGCCCAGCCAGAGUUGUUGAGCCGCCAAACCAAGACUUCCGCCGCCAUUUAAAUAGACCUUAGGGCUAUGCCAAAUAAUUGUAUUCAUCAACGAUGUAAUCUUCUAUACAUGUAUUUGAUGAAUAUUCUUGCACCUGGAAUGUUGUAUUAUGGACCUGUCGUGUGUCAGGUGUUAUCCUGGGCUGACGUGCGAAGGCCCCCUGCUCCAUGCGGAUCGGGGUGCCACAACAAUAUACUAUAUUAUUGUGAAAG